CCCCACUUCCUGCACCACAGCUGCAGGUGGGGGGCCAGUGGGUGGGGCACAGGCUCCCAGGAGGGGUUUUUGUAUGUGCUUGUAUCACAGUGUUAUGUGUUCGGCGGAGGGACCCAGCUGACCGUCCUAGGUCAGCCCACGUCCGCACCCUCGGUCACGCUCUUCCCGCCCUCCUCUGAGGAACUCGCCGCCAGCAAGGCCACCCUGGUGUGCCUCAUCAGUGACUUCUACCCCAGCGGCGUGACGGUGGCCUGGAAGGCAGACGGCAGCCCCGUCACCCAGGGCGUGGAGACCACCAAGCCCUCCAAACAGAGCAACAACAAGUACGCGGCCAGCAGCUACCUGAGCCUGUCGCCUGACAAGUGGCAAUCUCACAGCAGCUUCAGCUGCCUGGUCACGCACGAGGGCAACACCGUGGAGAAGAAGGUGGUCCCCUCACAGUGCUCUUAGGUCCCUGAGACUUCCAGGGAUGGGGGCCUUCCUCUCCCAGAUACCCCUUUCCCAGCUCACCAUGUCCCCCUGAGUCCCCACCCAGGUUCUGCUCAGAGCAGGCAGGUCACAAUGCCAUCCCUGUUUAUUAUUUGCUCAAUAAAGAUCUCAUCAUUUAUCAUCUGA
Mustela lutreola (European mink) is the source of this 615-nucleotide non-coding RNA. The record is from the annotation of a RefSeq genome assembly. NCBI's taxonomy places the organism in Eukaryota, Metazoa, Chordata, Mammalia, Carnivora, Mustelidae.